This 417-nucleotide ribosomal RNA is filed under the name Micrococcus luteus. RNAcentral describes it as "bacterial SSU rRNA". It matches the Rfam family "Bacterial small subunit ribosomal RNA", at positions 966 to 1383 of the family's 1533-position model. The record is from RNAcentral. Lineage: Bacteria; Bacillati; Actinomycetota; Actinomycetes; Micrococcales; Micrococcaceae.
GAAACUUACCAAGGCUUGACAUGUUCUCGAUCGCCGUAGAGAUACGGUUUCCCCUUUGGGGCGGGUUCACAGGUGGUGCAUGGUUGUCGUCAGCUCGUGUCGUGAGAUGUUGGGUUAAGUCCCGCAACGAGCGCAACCCUCGUUCCAUGUUGCCAGCACGUCGUGGUGGGGACUCAUGGGAGACUGCCGGGGUCAACUCGGAGGAAGGUGAGGACAACAUCAAAUCAUCAUGCCCCUUAUGUCUUGGGCUUCACGCAUGCUACAAUGGGCGGUACAAUGGGUUGCGAUACUGUGAGGUGGAGCUAAUCCCAAAAAGCCGGUCUCAGUUCGGAUAGGGGUCUGCACUCGACCCCUGAAAUCGGAGUCGCUAGUAAUCGCAAAAAAGCAACGCUGCGGUGAAUACGUUCCCGGGUCUUG